AAUUGUAUAAUUGAAAAGGAAAAUGCGUGCACAGGCUACCAUGGUGAGCGAGUUUUUUUGCGCCAUUUCAUUUUCAGUAAAUAUUGAUUACACAUGCAUUUGUCUCUGCCUGUAAAUUGUCCUCCUAAAAGGUAGGCUAUAUCCUAUAUGCACUAUGUAGCUCAUGAGAAAGUGCAAGUGCCCGCUGUCAUUAUUAUUGCUGCUUCAUUCUUGCUGCUUCAAGUUCAGUAGCCAUACUGUACUUGAGAGAUCUGGGGCCUCAUUUAUAAAAAUGUUCUUAGAUUUAUACUUGAACUUAGUCGUAAGAUAAUUUCCAACGGUGUGCUUACGUUCGAUUCAUAAAAGAUACCAAACAUAAAAAAUCUUGCUUACGCAGAUUCUAAGAAGCCCAUUUUUAAUUUACGCACCUGUGAUCUAUAAAUCUCAAAUUAAUUUUAAAUUGACGGCACCUGGAUGUGCCUUACAAUCAGCGAUUUCCUAUUAUAGAAUGCUAGCACAAAUUAGGGUUUAGUCAGGAAUAGCCAUGGUCCAAAAGAGAAAAGCAAACUUUUUGGAAGACGAGAUCACGGCGAUGGUAGAAGAGAUUGAAGACCGGCAACACAUAUUAUUUGGUGGACUAAAUAGUGGGUUGACAAACAAAGCCAAACAGGUAGCUUGGGAGUGUGUCGCCGCUGCAGUGAACGAGGUGGGGCAGCAAGACAGAACUGUGGCUGAUGUGAAAAAGAAAUGGUCUGACCUUAAUUAAACUGCAAAGGAAAAACAAUAGCCAUACAUAACCUCAGCAUUAAGGCAACGGGAGGGCGGCCUGGCACGCCGGAGCUCCCCCAAAUGGACAAGCGCAUCGGGGCAAUCCUUGGGGAAAGCGCAUACAGUGGCACAUGCUUCGACGUCACACAGAAAUGGGGGAAGCUGCGUUGAAGCUGCGUUGUAGCCAGUGCGCCCUCCACCCAGGGAUAAAGUGCGUGAGCCUCGCAAAUCAGCAGGUGCCAGGAGUGAGGGGAAAGGUUUGGCCACAGGUGUCGAGUGUCCGUCUGCGUCCGUGCUCCGGAAUGAAGUCCGUGAGGCCCCGGUUCCCAAGCGUCGCAGGUGCCAGGAGUAAGGGGGAAUGUUUGGUCACAGGUGUCGAGGGCCCGUCUGCGUCUACAGUUCGCGUGUUGACCACCUCAGUCCUGUAAACCCAGAACGAGUUGAGCACAUUGGUUGGGCAGAUUGUGACUGACCUCUGAAGAAUACCCAGGGUUUUUAUUCAUUCUCAUAAUGCAAUUGUUUAACGUUUUCCACAACAUGAAUAUAAAAACCCAUGCUUUGUAUAUUGUCUGGCUUUCUGUUUCUGUAACGGUGGUCGUAUGAAGUAGACCAAGGCGCAGCGGGUUGAGUGCUCAUAUUUACUUUUAUUGAAC
Molecule: long non-coding RNA, 1400 nt
Filed under: Salmo salar (Atlantic salmon)
Lineage: Eukaryota; Metazoa; Chordata; Actinopteri; Salmoniformes; Salmonidae
Description: lncRNA (ENSSSAG00000109479.1)
Source: RNAcentral